Molecule: ribosomal RNA, 308 nt
Filed under: uncultured archaeon
Lineage: Archaea
Description: bacterial SSU rRNA
Rfam family: Archaeal small subunit ribosomal RNA
Source: RNAcentral
CUGUUCUACAAGUCCUCCGUUAAAUCCACCUGCUCAACAGAUGGGCUGCGGGGGAUACUAUAGAGCUAGGAGGCGGGAGAGGCAAACGGUACUCAGUGGGUAGGGGUAAAAUCCGUUGAUCCAUUGAAGACCACCAGUGGCGAAGGCGGCUUGCCAGAACGCGCUCGACGGUGAGGGAUGAAAGCUGGGGGAGCAAACCGGAUUAGAUACCCGGGUAGUCCCAGCUGUAAACGAUGCAGACUCGGUGAUGAGUUGGCUAUAUGCCAUCUCAGUGCCGCAGGGAAGCCGUUAAGUUUGCCGCCUGGGGA